GCGAGGCGAGACACGAUGCAAUUUCACGAUGCAACGAGCCAUGCGUCGUAUAUAAACGAACCCUAAAAGACGUAUCCACGGCACAGAAUGGCCUGCGAAGAUAGCGAGCAACAAUAGAAGGCUUCCGUCAAUGAAAUUGCCGGCUACAAAAGAGAGAAGAGAGAGAGAGAGAGAGAGAGAGAAAUAACAAGUUUGACGAAUGGAGGAGCACAAGGCGCGAACGAGUUAUCUGAUGUUGCAACAAGUAAAAUCCGCUAAACCGAUGAAUUGACAAUAGUCGAUACAUUAUUCGAGAAAGCGUUUCAGAUAAAACUUGUUCUGUUUCAAGGG
This 330-nucleotide unclassified non-coding RNA is filed under the name Bombus terrestris (buff-tailed bumblebee). Its description in RNAcentral is "misc RNA ENSBTSG00005037625.1". The record is from RNAcentral. Lineage: Eukaryota; Metazoa; Arthropoda; Insecta; Hymenoptera; Apidae.